UACGUAGGGGGCAAGCGUUGUCCGGAUUUAUUGGGCGUAAAGAGCGUGUAGGCGGCCAGACAGGUCCGUUGUGAAAACUGGAGGCUCAACCUCCAGACGUCGAUGGAAACCGUCUGGCUAGAGUCCGGAAGAGGAGAGUGGAAUUCCUGGUGUAGCGGUGAAAUGCGCAGAUAUCAGGAAGAACACCCGUGGCGAAAGCGGCUCUCUGGGACGGUACUGACGCUGAGGAGCGAAAGCGUGGGGAGCGAACAGG
Molecule: ribosomal RNA, 253 nt
Filed under: uncultured bacterium
Lineage: Bacteria
Description: partial 16S ribosomal RNA
Rfam family: Bacterial small subunit ribosomal RNA
Source: RNAcentral